Molecule: long non-coding RNA, 2130 nt
Filed under: Nicotiana tabacum (common tobacco)
Lineage: Eukaryota; Viridiplantae; Streptophyta; Magnoliopsida; Solanales; Solanaceae
Description: long non-coding RNA (NTAB_LNC015067)
Source: RNAcentral
GCCCCCCAUUUCUCCUUUACUGUUCCUUUCUCCUCUAUUUCUUUACUCUCUCGUCUCUCUCAUCCCCUCUGCUAGUUUGCGCACUGACGCCGUCCUUCGCCGGUCGAAAAUCUCCACCACUGGUCGGCCGUUAUCCAAACUCCACAAACAACCUUACACCAGUCUUCUUCUCUUUCUCACAUCUACCUCAAUCCACGUCUCAAAUCCUCAGAAUCUCCAUCAAUCUUUACCAAUUUGGCCUUGACUGAAACUCUAGCCGCCCAAAAUUUUCUUUUUUUUCUUUCUCAAAUUCGUGACAAACCAGUCAUCCCCAACACAAAAAUCUCACAUAAACAUGUAGAUAUACUUGAGAUCCAUACUUCUCUUUUAAUUUCAUCCAUAAAUCUGAUCUCUGCUACUGCCAACUAGCAACCUCCACCUCCAUGACCUUUAACCAUCAGAAACUCACUCGGCCUUCUAUUUUAAGUUGUGUACGAUCUCGGACACCCUUUUUCUUUUGGUAUGGCGCACAAAUUAAUUUCCGAUGUGCAGAAUUUGUUGAACCAACACAUGCCCUUAAGACAAAAGGUGCUCGAAGGUCAAUUGACUGGCCAUUUGGCACCCCGUUAUUGCACCGAGGAUUCGAGGUUAAAGUUCUGAGGUAGGUUCUCGAACGAAAGUGAUACCGUAAUUCCUUGUUCCCUUUUUUGCUCAUUACUAGCAGUAGAUUUACGCUUGAUUUUGUCAAUAAUCAAUGUUCGUAGCUUAGUCAGUUGAAAACGGUCAGUUUAGAUUUUAAGUUUGUUUCGGUUUUUGUAUUGCUUUGUUUUGAUCUUCAUAAUUCAUUGAUCUUACUAUUUCUUUAUGUAUUGCGAGGUUCGUGAUUCUUCGAGUCUCAGAAUCUGUUGUUAAUUCGAUCCACUUUGUUUAUCAUUUUGCUUUGUUUGUGUUUGAUUGGAAUUUCUGUCUAGGUUUAAUCCGAUUGAUUCAUCCGUUUCAUGUUUAAUCUCUUUAAUUCUGUUUUUGGGUAUUAGUUUGCUAAAUUGUCUUUACUGAUUAUACAUGUUUUUGCUUGGUUUUAAUAGUUGGUUUCUGAGUUUCUCCUUGUUGGUUAAUAGUUCAACUAGUAAAGUCUAGUUACAUGUUUGUUGUAUCUUGGUUUGGUUUGAAACAAUUAGGUCGAUAGUGAUUUGGUCUUUUGGUCUAAAGCUGGAGGGUAAUAGUUUAAUUAUGAUUUGAGAUACAUUAGUGGCUUGCUUUUAUGCUGGGGUGGCUGAAAGCAUCUUUCUUCCCAUGCUUUUACCACAUUAGGUUGAGAGGGCUGCCAUUUUCCCAUUUGGACAGUCCUUAGAUUGUUUUUGGCACAAAAAGUAAGUCCCUUUGGACACAAUUUUAGGUGAACUAAAAUAUGUCCAAAAAGAACUUUCUUCUCCUACUUAAGCAUACCAUAUUCCACACUUUAGGACACACUUUACAUAACUUUGGAGAAGAAAAAAAAAAGAAUUAGUUGAACACAUACUUUGAGAGGUAAAAAAAAUACAAUCUUGAGAGAAAAAUAUCAACUGACUAUAAAAAAGAAGCUGAAAAUUGAGAGCCUUGUAUGUAGUAUUCUGAGUGUAAACUCUUUCAAAAAAUAGGAGAGUCUUUAGAGUUGGUUCUUAGUUUCACAUGGUUAACUACUGAAAGUUUCUUGUUGUUUGACAUUGAUUUGCUAUUGUUUUUGCUGCAUGUUCUGAGCUUCAUUUUAUUCACUACAUAUUUUUAUUUUUCAGCGAACCAAGUAACUCCCUAAAUCUUUUGUAUUGCAGAUUUUUAACAAAGUUGGAAUUCUCAAGCCAUUGGGAAUGAAAAUCCCAUAUUAGACGACACUCGAGAAUUCUAGGGAUGCAAAAAAAAGAGGGCUUCAAGAACGAUCUAAUAAAUUAGUCUUUUAAAGUCAAAUUUUAAUAAGAGAUUUAAAUUUUUAAAUAGAGUUUAUAUAUGUUUAACACAAUUUGCAAAAAAUUAGUGUUUUGUUUUUUUCUUAUAUUCAUUGUUUAUAGUGUAAUAUGCUUACAAGAUAUAAAAUCUUUAAUGUUAUAUUGGCAAGCGUUAACUCUAAGUUAAUAAGAUGUUAGCCAUGUGUUUGUGAUAUAUUAUCUUGGAUCUCAU